Molecule: ribosomal RNA, 341 nt
Filed under: uncultured Cenococcum
Lineage: Eukaryota; Fungi; Ascomycota; Dothideomycetes; Gloniales; Gloniaceae
Description: eukaryotic LSU rRNA
Rfam family: Eukaryotic large subunit ribosomal RNA
Source: RNAcentral
UUGACCUCGGAUCAGGCAGGGAUACCCGCUGAACUUAAGCAUAUCAAUAAGCGGAGGAAAAGAAACCAACAGGGAUUGCCUCAGUAACGGCGAGUGAAGCGGCAACAGCUCAAAUUUGAAAUCUGGCUCUUUUAGGGUCCGAGUUGUAAUUUGUAGAGGAUGCUUCGGCGUCGGCUCCGGUCUAAGUUCCUUGGAACAGGACGUCAUAGAGGGUGAGAAUCCCGUAUGUGAUCGGUUGCCCUUGCCAUGUGAAGCUCCUUCGACGAGUCGAGUUGUUUGGGAAUGCAGCUCUAAAUGGGAGGUAAAUUUCUUCUAAAGCUAAAUACUGGCCAGAGACCGAU